Molecule: non-coding RNA, 106 nt
Organism: Paramuricea clavata
Lineage: Eukaryota; Metazoa; Cnidaria; Anthozoa; Malacalcyonacea; Plexauridae
Source: the annotation of a GenBank genome assembly
UUUAUACGUCGAAUUUUGGUCGCGUCGACUGCAAUUAAGACAAUAGAUAAUGAGGUGAUAAAUCUUAUUAAGCUUCAUUCGAUGCGACCAAAAUUCGACUUAUAAA